Molecule: ribosomal RNA, 361 nt
Filed under: uncultured Glomeromycotina
Lineage: Eukaryota; Fungi; Glomeromycota
Description: LSU rRNA
Source: RNAcentral
UUGAAAGGGAAACGAUUGAAGUCAGUCGUACCGACGAGAAAUCAGCUUAUCGUGUGUGAACUUGUGGGCGUGCGUGAGUUUCGGCCUCGCUGUUUGCAUGUUUGUGCGCUUUGGGUGUACUUUUUCGUAUGGUUGGCCAACGUCAGUUUCGAUUACUAUAAAAUGACCGGCGGAAUGUAGCUUCGAUUUCGGUUGAAGUGUUAUAGCCUCUGGUAGAUGUGGUGAUUGGGACUGAGGAUUGCAACGAAUAUCCUUUGGGCUAUCCGUCUGAUCUCUGAAAGUUGCUCAGGUGCCGAAAGCGUGCUUAAGUUGACGGUCAAUAGGUUAGAACGUGAUUACAUUCGUUAAGGAUGUUGACGUA